AGUGAACGCUGGCGGCAGGCCUAACACAUGCAAGUCGAGCGGCAGCGGGUCCCCGCGAGGGGAUGCCGGCGAGCGGCGGACGGGUGAGGAACACAUCGGAAUCUGCCUGGUUGUGGGGGAUAACGUAGGGAAACUUACGCUAAUACCGCAUGCGACCCUGAGUCGACGGACUGGGGGUGAAAGUGAGGGACCCUUCGGGCCUCACGCGACCAGGAUGAGCCGAUGUCGGAUAGCUAGUUGGCGGGGGUAACGGCCCGCCAAGGCGACGAUCCGUAGCUGGUCUGAGAGGAUGAUCAGCCACACUGGGACUGAGACACGGCCCAGACUCC
Molecule: ribosomal RNA, 329 nt
Filed under: uncultured bacterium
Lineage: Bacteria
Description: bacterial SSU rRNA
Rfam family: Bacterial small subunit ribosomal RNA
Source: RNAcentral